GGGGCUGAUUCUGGAUUCGACGGGAUUUGCGAAACCCAAGGUGCAUGCCGAGGGGCGGUUGGCCUCGUAAAAAGCCGCAAAAAAAUAGUCGCAAACGACGAAACCUACGCUUUAGCAGCUUAAUAACCUGCUUAGAGCCCUCUCUCCCUAGCCUCCGCUCUUAGGACGGGGAUCAAGAGAGGUCAAACCCAAAAGAGAUCGCGUGGAUGCCCUGCCUAGGGUUGAAGCGUUAAAACGAAUCAGGCUAGUCUGGUAGUGGCGUGUCCGUCCGCAGGUGCCAGGCGAAUGUAAAGACUGACUAAGCAUGUAGUACCGAGGAUGUAGGAAUUUCGGACGCGGGUUCAACUCCCGCCAGCUCCACCA
RNAcentral lists this transfer-messenger RNA (363 nucleotides) under Salmonella enterica. Its description in RNAcentral is "Standard tmRNA". It matches the Rfam family "transfer-messenger RNA". Rfam says of the family: Bacterial tmRNA, also known as 10Sa RNA or SsrA, is named for its dual tRNA and mRNA-like properties. Its role is to liberate the mRNA from a stalled ribosome. Lineage: Bacteria; Pseudomonadati; Pseudomonadota; Gammaproteobacteria; Enterobacterales; Enterobacteriaceae. The record is from RNAcentral. RNAcentral also lists the same sequence under 2 other names.